GACAUGCAGAGACUUUCCAGAGAUGGAUUGGUGCCUUCGGGAACUCUGACACAGGUGCUGCAUGGCUGUCGCCAGCUCGUGUCGUGAGAUGUUGGGUUAAGUCCCGUAACGAGCGCAACCCUGUCCUUAGUUACCAGCACGUUAUGGUGGGCACUCUAAGGAGACUGCCGGUGACAAACCGGAGGAAGGUGGGGAUGACGUCAAGUCAUCAUGGCCCUUACGGCCUGGGCUACACACGUGCUACAAUGGUCGGUACAAAGGGUUGCCAAGCCGCGAGGUGGAGCUAAUCCCAUAAAACCGAUCGUAGUCCGGAUCGCAGUCUGCAACUCGACUGCGUGAAGUCGGAAUCGCUAGUAAUCGUGAAUCAGAAUGUCACGGUGAAUACGUUCCCGGGCCUU
This 398-nucleotide ribosomal RNA is filed under the name uncultured Pseudomonas sp. RNAcentral describes it as "bacterial SSU rRNA". It matches the Rfam family "Bacterial small subunit ribosomal RNA", at positions 983 to 1382 of the family's 1533-position model. The record is from RNAcentral. Lineage: Bacteria; Pseudomonadati; Pseudomonadota; Gammaproteobacteria; Pseudomonadales; Pseudomonadaceae.